Molecule: long non-coding RNA, 531 nt
Filed under: Aotus nancymaae (Ma's night monkey)
Lineage: Eukaryota; Metazoa; Chordata; Mammalia; Primates; Aotidae
Description: lncRNA (ENSANAG00000038908.1)
Source: RNAcentral
CAAGAAAUGAGGGUGGUACGUUGAAGCGAUGGAGAAAGGAUGGAAUGCCACAGCGGUCGAGGCUGAGAGUGGGGACCAAAGCCUGGGACCAGUGUUAAUUUAGAGGAGGCCAGAAUUGAGAGAAUUGAAGGAAAACAGUGGGGGAGCCUGGAAUCAAAUCCCAUGUGAAGCAUGCUCUCCUUCUAGACCCUUCUGUAGGGACUGACAACAAAUGUAUCUACUAGAGAUUCUGACUUUUGACCCCACCUGUCAACAACUGAGAAGGAAAGGAGAGAUAAGGAGUGAGGAUCGUCCACAAAUAAGUAUGUGGAUUUUAAAGCUGUGGGACUGGGUGAGAUCAGCUAGAGAAAUCAGCAGAUGAAGAAAGAAGAAAAGCUGGUGGUCUAGGCCAGGAUCUACCCUGAGGCCUUCCAACUUUCAGAGGUAGGUGUGUAUGUGUAUACAUGCAUAGAUACGUAUACACACAUAUCCCAGAAACUAGAAAUAUGUACAUAGACCUAUAAAACUUUUUUGAUUUGCUCCUAUAUUUAU